This 1633-nucleotide ribosomal RNA is filed under the name metagenome. RNAcentral's name for it is "bacterial LSU rRNA". It matches the Rfam family "Bacterial large subunit ribosomal RNA", at positions 1214 to 2925 of the family's 2925-position model. The record is from RNAcentral.
GAACGGUUAUCAUGGUAGGAGAGCGUUCUGUAAGGGGAGAAGCCGUAGCGGAAGCGGCGGUGGACUUUACAGAAGUGAGAAUGCCGGAAUGAGUAGCGAGAAAUAUGUGAGAAUCAUAUUGGCCGAAAGUCUAAGGUUUUUGGAGGAAGGUUCGUCCGCUCCAAGUAAGUCGGGAGCUAAGGCGAGGCCGAAAGGCGUAGUCGAUGCACAUACGGUAGAUAUUCCGUAACCGCCGAAAGAGUUAAGUUAGAUGACACCUUGAAAGGGCAUGACCCGGGCGAUGGUUGACCCGGGCGAAAGGGACCGAAAUUUAGUAGGGAAGCAUGCAUGGACGAGGGCGAGAAAAGUCUAGUGUAUUUCUGAGGCGCCCGUACCGCAAACCGACACAGGUAGAUAGGAAGAGAAUUCUAAGGCCCACGGGAGAAGGGUAGUUAAGGAACUCGGCAAAUUGACCCCGUAACUUAGGGAAAAGGGGUGCUCUAGCGAUAGAGCCGCAGAGAAUAGGCCCAGGCGACUGUUUAGCAAAAACACAGGUCUCUGCCAAAUCGAAAGAUGAAGUAUAGGGGCUGACACCUGCCCGGUGCUGGAAGGUUAAGAGGAGAUGUUUACGCAUUGAAUUGAAGCCCCAGUAAACGGCGGCCGUAACAAUAACGGUCCUAAGGUAGCGAAAUUCCUUGUCGGGUAAGUUCCGACCCGCACGAAUGGUGUAACGAUCUGGGCACUGUCUCAACUACCCGCCCGGCGAAAUUGUAGUACCGGUGAAGAUGCCGGUUACCUGCGACAAGACGGAAAGACCCCAUGGAGCUUUACUGCAGCUUGAUAUUGGGUUUCGGUAAUUUAUGUACAGGAUAGGCGGGAGACUGGGAAGCAGAGGCGCCAGCCUUUGUGGAGUCAUCCUUGGGAUACCGCUCUUAAGUUGCUGGAAUUCUAACCUGCGGCCGUGAAACCGGCCGGGGGACAUUGUCAGGCGGGCAGUUUGACUGGGGCGGUCGCCUCCAAAAGAGUAACGGAGGCGCUCAAAGGUUAGCUCAGCACGGACGGAAACCGUGCUAAUGAGUGUAAACGCAUAAGCUAGCCUAACUGCGAGGGUGACGGCCCGAGCAGUAACGAAAGUUGGAGUUAGUGAUCCGGCGGUAUGUGAAUGGAAAUGCCGUCGCUCAACGGAUAAAAGCUACCCUGGGGAUAACAGGCUGAUCUCCCCCAAGAGUCCACAUCGACGGGGAGGUUUGGCACCUCGAUGUCGGCUCAUCACAUCCUGGGGCUGAAUUCGGUCCCAAGGGUUCGGCUGUUCGCCGAUUAAAGUGGUACGCGAGCUGGGUUCAGAACGUCGUGAGACAGUUCGGUCCCUAUCUGUCGUGGGCGCAGGAUAUUUGAGGAGCUCUGUCCUUAGUACGAGAGGACCGGGAUGGACGCACCGCUGGUGCACCAGUUGUCACGCCAGUGGCACAGCUGGGCAGCUAAGUGCGGAACGGAUAAACGCUGAAAGCAUCUAAGCGUGAAGCCGGCUCCAAGAUUAGAUAUCCCACAGCGUAAGCUGGUAAGACCCCUUGAGGACUACAAGGUUGAUAGGCUGCGUGUGUAAGCAUGGCGACAUGUUUAGCUUGGCAGUACUAAUAGGUCGAGGGCUUGACCA